This 443-nucleotide ribosomal RNA is filed under the name uncultured bacterium. Its description in RNAcentral is "partial 16S ribosomal RNA". It matches the Rfam family "Bacterial small subunit ribosomal RNA", at positions 355 to 813 of the family's 1533-position model. The record is from RNAcentral.
UGGGGAAUGAUUGCACAAUGGGCGAAAGCCUGAUGCAGCAACGCCGCGUGAGUGAUGAAGGCCUUCGGGUUGUAAAGCUCUGUCUUUUGGGACGAUAGUGACGGUACCAAAGGAGGAAGCCACGGCUAACUACGUGCCAGCAGCCGCGGUAAUACGUAGGUGGCAAGCGUUGUCCGGAUUUACUGGGCGUAAAGGAUGCGUAGGCGGAUUUUAAGUGAGAUGUGAAAUACCCGGGCUUAACUUGGGUGCUGCAUUUCAAACUGGGAAUCUAGAGUGCGGGAGAGGAGAAUGGAAUUCCUAGUGUAGCGGUGAAAGUGCGUAGAGAUUAGGAAGAACACCAGUGGCGAAGGCGAUUCUCUGGACCGUAACUGACGCUGAGGCAUGAAAUGCGUGGGUAGCAAACAGGAUUAGAUACCCUGGUAGUCCACGCCGUAAACGAUGAG